This 408-nucleotide ribosomal RNA is filed under the name uncultured bacterium. RNAcentral's name for it is "partial 16S ribosomal RNA". It matches the Rfam family "Bacterial small subunit ribosomal RNA", at positions 28 to 526 of the family's 1533-position model. The record is from RNAcentral.
GACGAACGCUGGCGGCGUGCUUAACACAUGCAAGUCGAACGAAGUGGCGAACGGGUGAGUAACGCGUAAUCAACCUGCCCUUCAGCGGGGGACAACAGUUGGAAACGACUGCUAAUACCGCAUACUGAAGGAGGGGAUUGCGUCGGAUUAGCUAGUUGGGGGGGUAACGGCCCACCAAGGCGAUGAUCAGUAGCCGGUCUGGGAGGAGGAACGGCCAAAUUGGGACUGAGGCACGGCCCAGACUCCUACGGGAGGCAGCAGUGGGGAAUCUUCCGCAAUGGACGAAAGUCUGACGGAGCAACGCCGCGGUAGUGAUGACGGCCUUCGGGUUGGAAAGGUCUGUUAAUCGGGACGCGGUACCGGAAUAGAAAGCCACGGCUAACUACGGGCCAGCCGCCGCGGUAAUUC